AGCCAUAACCCCUUUGAGAUCACUUCAUAUCCAGCUCCCAGCCGAAUCCAUCAGCCUUCAUCCCAUCCGCGUUCAAAGCCUCUACUCAUCUCACGAUUCCAUCCCAGCUUAUCCCAACUGGAUUCCCAACUCUCAUCCUCAUCUGGAUUAUCUCCCAGCCGAGAUCCUCUCAAUCCAACGCCCGAGCUGCCGAAUCCCAUGGAUCACCUCCCUUGUUUUAGUUUCAAAAUAAAGCCAAUCUCCCAUGGCAUAGCUUCCGAUCUAUCUUCCCAGAUUUCACGGAAAUAGAACAGAGCAAGGGAGCUUGAACUCUAGCAUUUACGGGAUAAAC
Molecule: long non-coding RNA, 331 nt
Filed under: Phoenix dactylifera (date palm)
Lineage: Eukaryota; Viridiplantae; Streptophyta; Magnoliopsida; Arecales; Arecaceae
Description: long non-coding RNA (PDAC_LNC022970)
Source: RNAcentral